UGCUGGAGGUAUCAGAAGUGCGAAUGCUGACAUAAGUAACGAUAAAGCGGGUGAAAAGCCCGCUCGCCGGAAGACCAAGGGUUCCUGUCCAACGUUAAUCGGGGCAGGGUGAGUCGACCCCUAAGGCGAGGCCGAAAGGCGUAGUCGAUGGGAAACAGGUUAAUAUUCCUGUACUUGGUGUUACUGCGAAGGGGGGACGGAGAAGGCUAUGUUAGCCGGGCGACGGUUGUCCCGGUUUAAGCAUGUAGGCUGAUUGUCCAGGCAAAUCCGGAUAA
Molecule: ribosomal RNA, 275 nt
Filed under: Klebsiella pneumoniae
Lineage: Bacteria; Pseudomonadati; Pseudomonadota; Gammaproteobacteria; Enterobacterales; Enterobacteriaceae
Description: partial 23S ribosomal RNA
Rfam family: Bacterial large subunit ribosomal RNA
Source: RNAcentral